RNAcentral lists this ribosomal RNA (400 nucleotides) under uncultured bacterium. RNAcentral's name for it is "bacterial SSU rRNA". It matches the Rfam family "Bacterial small subunit ribosomal RNA", at positions 355 to 752 of the family's 1533-position model. The record is from RNAcentral.
UGAGGAAUAUUGGUCAAUGGGCGAGAGCCUGAACCAGCCAAGUAGCGUGAAGGAUGAAGGUCCUACGGAUUGUAAACUUCUUUUAUACGGGAAUAAAGUUUCCUACGUGUAGGAUUUUGUAUGUACCGUAUGAAUAAGCAUCGGCUAACUCCGUGCCAGCAGCCGCGGUAAUACGGAGGAUGCGAGCGUUAUCCGGAUUUAUUGGGUUUAAAGGGAGCGCAGACGGGAGAUUAAGUCAGUUGUGAAAGUUUGCGGCUCAACCGUAAAAUUGCAGUUGAUACUGGUUUCCUUGAGUGCAGUUGAGGCAGGCGGAAUUCGUGGUGUAGCGGUGAAAUGCUUAGAUAUCACGAAGAACCCCGAUUGCGAAGGCAGCUUGCUAAACUGUAACUGACGUUCAUGC